GUGGCCGUAGUUCAGUGGUAGAACGCCGCCCUGUGGAGGCGGAUGUCGUGGGUUCGAAUCCCAUCGGUCACCCCA
Molecule: transfer RNA, 75 nt
Filed under: bacterium
Lineage: Bacteria
Description: tRNA-His
Rfam family: tRNA
About the family: Transfer RNA (tRNA) molecules are approximately 80 nucleotides in length. Their secondary structure includes four short double-helical elements and three loops (D, anti-codon, and T loops).
Source: RNAcentral